UGAGUUGGUUGCAGUCCCAGGAGCCUGAUGUUAAUGAGGCUGCCAGGAUGAAAUACUCCACAACUGUUGGGGAUCCAAAUUCGGGUCUCACCCUAACAGAACUGAUCCAAGAACAUCACAGCUUUUGAAGUCGAUUGGCACAGAUCAAGACCAAGAUUUGGCCCUGUGUCUGUAUUAAGUAGAGGAGCUUGGUGAUAAUUGCGGACUGAACCCUCGGGCUGCGGUCAUAUAUGAGAACUUGGUCCUCGCGGUCCCCUUUGCCAGGAUGUUCCCAUUGCUUCAUGUUUCAGUAAACAAAGGAAUUUGUGACCAACUAUGUUUUCUUUCUUAAUUUAAUUCUUCUAAGUUGACUUUCCUUUCCUCGAUGCUAGUUGUCUGUAGCUUUUCACUCUGUUCCUUAUAUUCUCAGCCUCUGAACAGCCCUAGGUAAGGAUUAUGCUGGCAUCCCCCCUUUUCCUGUACAGUGGAAGCCCCUCUUAAUCUUACUUUCCUUAGGAGUUGAGCCCUUCUCCCUGCCUUCCUGCAGCAUCUUCUUUCCCUUUAAAAUGACCAUGUAGUGGCAAGCAGCCUUUAACUCUUCUGUUAGUUCUGGACUCUUUAACAUUGAAGCUAGUCUUCUGAAGUUGCUAGGACCAUUGGGAUUUUGUUCUUGUUUUGGUUUGAUUUUGUUUUGUUUUCGGUUUUGUCUGACCUGUGAUCGUGGUACAGCAUUUGCUGAAAUUUAGCCUUGUUUUAUUCCACUCCCCCAUAUUUUUUUUGAAAAAAAAAAAAUAAAUGUUUCUAACACUUAAUCUUUUCUUAACUGAGUGACCAUUAUUUACCACUACUGUCUUCUGAUUCUUAACUAGUUGUGCCUGAGCUACAAAAUUCACAUGUGUGAACGCCUGAAGUGUACAAGGAAAAACUGAGCACAGCAAUAUGGUUUCAGAGGUUAGCUAGAAUCUUGAAACACUGGAUCAUUCACUCUUCUUUUCCUCUUUCUGUAUAUUUUGAGACAAAUUGUCCCUAAUGUAGCCCUGCUGGACCUAGAACAUGCUAUGUAGAACAGACCAGUCUCAUACUUGUGUUGAUACUCCUGCCUCCCAAGUCUUGGGAGUAGACAUGAGCCAUCAUUUCUAGAUGUUUAUCCUUUGUUAAUUGGGGCUGGGAGUGCAGAGCACUGAAGAGAUGGCUGAGCAGCGAAGAGCCUGGACUGCUCUUCCAGGAGACAGGUUCAACUUCCAGUACAUAUACUGGUGGCUCACAACUAUCUUAUUUCAGGGAUUCGAUGUCUUUUUCUGACCUCCAAGAGUAGGUGCAACAUGAAUGCGGGAAAACAUCCAUAUACAUAAAUUUAAAAUCUCAAAAGUAAAACUUAAAA
This 1360-nucleotide long non-coding RNA is filed under the name Rattus norvegicus (Norway rat). RNAcentral's name for it is "long non-coding RNA NONRATT001420". The record is from RNAcentral. Lineage: Eukaryota; Metazoa; Chordata; Mammalia; Rodentia; Muridae.